Molecule: ribosomal RNA, 253 nt
Filed under: uncultured bacterium
Lineage: Bacteria
Description: partial 16S ribosomal RNA
Rfam family: Bacterial small subunit ribosomal RNA
Source: RNAcentral
UACGGAGGGUGCAAUCGUUAUCCGGAAUCACUGGGUUUAAAGGGUGCGUAGGCUGCUGCAUAAGUCAGGGGUGAAAGUUUGUCGCUUAACGAUAGAAUUGCCUUUGAUACUGUGCGGCUUGAAAUUAGGUGAGGUUGGCGGAAUGUGACAUGUAGCGGUGAAAUGCGUAGAUAUGUCAUAGAACACCGAUUGCGAAGGCAGCUGGCUAACCUAAAUUUGACGCUGAGGCACGGAAGCGUGGGUAGAAAACAGG